RNAcentral lists this ribosomal RNA (219 nucleotides) under uncultured Rhizobiaceae bacterium. Its description in RNAcentral is "partial 16S ribosomal RNA". It matches the Rfam family "Bacterial small subunit ribosomal RNA", at positions 1163 to 1382 of the family's 1533-position model. Lineage: Bacteria; Pseudomonadati; Pseudomonadota; Alphaproteobacteria; Hyphomicrobiales; Rhizobiaceae. The record is from RNAcentral.
CCGGAGGAAGGUGGGGAUGACGUCAAGUCCUCAUGGCCCUUACGGGCUGGGCUACACACGUGCUACAAUGGUGGUGACAGUGGGCAGCGAGCACGCGAGUGUGAGCUAAUCUCCAAAAGCCAUCUCAGUUCGGAUUGCACUCUGCAACUCGAGUGCAUGAAGUUGGAAUCGCUAGUAAUCGCGGAUCAGCAUGCCGCGGUGAAUACGUUCCCGGGCCUU